UCUCUCUCUCUCUCUCUCCCCCCACACACGACGCACCACCACCCCCACACAACAAACGCCCCCCCAACCCCAACCUUUUAACUCUUUUUAUUAAGCUCGUUGUCCUCCUUUUUUCUGCAAAACAUAGUUUCCAGAGGUUUUGAAGCAGCAGAUCAAUGUUUCAAAGUUGAAUUCACAUUCAUUUUCAGUCUUGUACUACAAUGAAAAUGAAACACUAGAUAUACAAAGCUUUAAAGACAAUGUGGAUCUAGAAAUUUCGACAAACUUGGCUACUCGAUUCUGUUGGAGAAAGCUGGUACAGAAUAAUAUGGAUGUCACAAGACUGGAAGGACAGCUACUCAUAGAUGAGAGCAAACAUUGGUUGGUUUCUGGGAACAAAGUGUCAGACACCUCACAGAAUAGACCACUACUGUAUUGGGGUUUGCUUGAUAUGGAGAAGCUUCUCACCAUAUUGUCAAAGAUGGGGAUUAGUGGAUCUAUAGAACAAGGCUUGAAUGAUGCUGAAUCAGAUAGUGUCGGGAUCAUACAAAUACAUGGUCCAAACAAAGCAUUGAUAGAAGUUAGAGCAACAAGAACUGUUAUCACUGCUCCUGAUGAGAAUUUAGCUGCACUCAUUUUUGAAGCUAUUAGUACUCUUUUGGAUGGCAUUUAGAAGGGCAUUCACAUAAGCUGAAGUAGCUGAAGCUUGGAUUGCCUGUGGUCCACAAUGUUAUGCUAGUUCUAGUUGAAUUCUAAUUUCUAGGCCAAUCCAAACAAGGCUUCUAUACGAAAAAAAAAAAGCUUCAGUGUGCUCUUAAUUCUUAUUCUUUAUAAUGGGCAGCUGAUCAUUUUUUUCCCCAGGUGAUGAACUGCAUUGAUAUAUUCAGUCACAGGCUUUGCAGUUUAUGAUUAACCACAUAGAUGUAGCAAUAACUAAAUCUGUUAUCUUGGCCCAAGUUGGAAACUCAUGAAGCACUUGUAAAUUCUUCCUUUUACUGGUUUCCUAUCUUCUGAUUUGUUUUGUAUGUAAGCUAAACUUCAGAUAUUGUUUUCUUUUUAUAUAAAGCAAAUUAUUUAGUAUUUAC
Molecule: unclassified non-coding RNA, 1064 nt
Filed under: Hevea brasiliensis (rubber tree)
Lineage: Eukaryota; Viridiplantae; Streptophyta; Magnoliopsida; Malpighiales; Euphorbiaceae
Source: RNAcentral